GGUGUUGUCUGUGCUUGCAUUCCCAACGUUCACAUGAGGAAUUAUCAAUGGGUUCCGGACAUAAUCAGCCACACAGCAGAGUGAAUUCCAGGAGUGUAAAUAACAAGAGCUGCCUAUAAAUCUACCUCCGAAGACAAAGGGAAAAGCAAAACUCUGCCCAGGAAGACCUUACUUUACAAACCGGCUCAACCAUAUUUACCAGCCUUCCUGUGGUCAUUUGUCUGAGCUCCAGCUAGUGAAGUAUGAGUAGAACGGACAUGCACCACUUCCAGACCUGGCACCGGCAAACCCCCCAUGGCAACCCUCCAACCCUUUCCUCAACAACUGGACCACGCUGGAAAGGACUGAGGAUCUAGAGGAGGACAGGGCUGUAAUAUGGAAGGAGUUUGGUUUCUGAAGGACCAUGUAGCAGGCCACCUGCAGGGCGGGAACAUCUUUAAUAGGUUUGGAAUAGCAAGAAAUAAACUGGUCUUGUAUUAAACAACUAA
RNAcentral lists this long non-coding RNA (488 nucleotides) under Pan troglodytes (chimpanzee). Its description in RNAcentral is "lincRNA". The record is from RNAcentral. Lineage: Eukaryota; Metazoa; Chordata; Mammalia; Primates; Hominidae.